UGUGACCGAGUAGCUGGUGCCUGUGUUGAUUGUCCAGUACUCGGAUGCUUGUAGGGUCAUCUGGCAUUACUUUUCAAUGAACUUGCAUUGAGCUUUUUGUCACAAGCACCUUUUACAAAUAAAAUGGUGUCAGUUCUUUCUUUUGUUUUUUGUGGAUUCAGCUCAUAUUUCUCUAAGCAGGGCUCAUUCUGUUGAAUAUCAUGUCCUGGCUUGUAUGUUUUUAUAAGCAUCCACAGUUACUUUUAGAUUUUUCUGCCAAGCCAUGCAUGUUCAAUAGCUAUACCGAUAAAAUCUUUCCUUCAUUUGGUUUCUUUGCAUAUUCUGGUGCCACUCAAGUUAUUGCAUAAAUUACAGUAAUCGAUAAUAUCCUUCGGUUGACUUUCGAUCAUAAAUAACAGUAGUGUUGUUUUCUAAUUUGAGGCAGCCUGCCUGAGCGUUGCUUGAUCGUGCAAACAUGCAGGAGAGGAUUAACUUGGAGCGUGCUGGGAGAGAACAACUUGAGGAGAGGUUACAAGAAAAGCAUGUUGAAAGGGAAAGAAUGUUGGAAGAGAAGCGAAGAUCAAGAAUGGAAUUUAAAAAAAAACAUGAUGGCAAAGUUCAGCCAACUGAUGGCUAAAUUAAGCCAAAAAAUGGGAAACCAAUAGGUGCUUAAGAAGAGGAAUGACAAAGAAAAUAGUAAUCCAAAUUUGCAAACUACUCUACAGAGCUCUAGUCCUAGUAGGAAUCUAGGAGCAAAGUCAAAUGUGAUUUCUUCAACUUCACUCUUACAAGUUGCAACACUGAAUUCUAGAUUUUACAAAGCAAUGGAACCAAAGAAAUAGCUGGAGAGGGUACAAGUAAUGGGAAUACACACCUAAAGUACAGAUUUCAAGAAUCACGAUGGUGAUGUACUAUACAUCAUGGACAAUUUAGUCUUACACUUAAUUAGGAUGGCUACAUUUUACUUGAGUUUCAUUUGAUGAAUAU
Non-coding RNA from Lolium perenne, 966 nucleotides. NCBI's taxonomy places the organism in Eukaryota, Viridiplantae, Streptophyta, Magnoliopsida, Poales, Poaceae. The record is from RefSeq and is a predicted model, not a curated record.